AUGGCCAGGAAUAGAUCUAUGAUCAGUGGAAAUUUCGCUGACUGUACUUGUUCCCAGCGGAAAAGAAUUGGUUUCCCCAAAACAUAUGCAAAAAUGCCCCGAGACCAGUGUGAACCUAUAGUCUCUGGAAGACCAAAUUUAAGGACUCCCAAGAUGCGUUCUACAGAGGGGUGUAACCCAAUUUUAUUCUCACCCCCCUGUUCUUCUCAAAUGUCUUCAGGAAGCAGUUUCAAAUGUAGGAGAAGGAGCACAAAGAAAAGUAAUUCAAAGAUUCUAAACUCCGCUUUGGACCGUGCCCUACAGACUGCAGUCGGCUUAAAAAAGACGACGGAACGGAUGAUUCGAGAAGUGGCAGAGGAUCUGGAUAAAUUUCAGAAUCAGAAAAGUCAGGAACAAUUUUAGCCCCUGCACGGUCUGAUCUGAGCUCUGCUGAGUAAUUUUGAUGGACCAAAUGCCUGUCUAGUGCUCCUCACACAGUCCGCUAAUGAAGGUGUCUCCGACUUGCCUAAACCAGGAACUGAAGGAGGGGCAGAUCGAUGGCCAGCCCGCCCCAGGGGACCUACUGCAGCACAAUUAGAGGGCUUAGCCAUGCCUGCACUCAUCCAGGAAGAAAAUAUUUUAGCUUACCUGUGGUUUGCUGAACAGACGAUGCUUUGUGAGAAGUAGUGUGGUCUAGUGGAAAGAGCACAGGCUUGAGAGCCAGAAGACCUGGGUUCUAGUCCUGAUCUGCCACUUACCUGCUGUGUGAUUAUGGGUCACAACUUUUCUGUUCUUCAAUUCCCUCCAUCUCCAAAAUGGGGAUUCAGUGCCUGUUCUCCCUCCUAUUUAGACCAAGUCCCAUGUGGGAUCUGAUUAUCUUCUGUCUCAGAGCUUGGCACGUAGUAAGCGCUUAACUGAUACCAUGAUUAUUAUUAUUGUUAGUAUUAUUAUCAAGGUAUUUGGAAAAGAAUUUAAGAAAUCUACAUCUCCAGCCAUGAUGUCUCUCCCUCUCUGCUGUCUUGCAUUUCCUCCUGCCUUAAAGUCAUGUCUACUUGGAUGUCUUGCCAUCGCCUCAAACUUAACAUGUCCAAAAUGGAACUCCGUAUCUUCCCUCCCAAACGCUGUCCUCCCCGUCUUUCCUAUCACUGUAGACGACACCACUAUCCUUCCUGUCUCACAAGCUCAUAACCCUGGCAUUAUCCCUGACUCUUCUCUCUCAUUCAACCCACCUAUUCAAUCUAUCACUAAAUCCUGUCCGUUCAACCUUCACCUAAAAUCUACCCUUUCCUCUCCAUCCAAACUAUUACCACGUUAAUCCAAGCACCUAUUUAUCCUAUCCCAUCGUGAUUACUAUAUUCAUUCUUUCAUUUAUUCAAUCAUAUUUAUUGAGCUCUGUGUUCUGAGUACUGUAGUAAGCACUUGAGAAGCAGCGUGGCUCAGUGGAAAGAGCACUGGCUUGGGAGUCAGAGGUCAUGGGUUCGAAACUCCGCUCUGCCACUUGUUAGCUGUGUGACUGUGGGCAAGUCACUUAAUUUCUCUGUGCCUCAGUUACCUCAUCUGUAAAAUGGGGAUUAACUGUGAGCCCCAUGGGGGACAACCUGAUUACCCUAUAUAUCUACCCCCAGUGCUUAGAAUAGUGCUCUGCACAUAGUAAACGCUUAACAAAUACCAACAUUAUUACAAUAUAAUAGACACAUUCCCUGACCACAAGGAGCUUACAGUCUAGAAUGGGGUGGGGAGAGAGACAUUAAUAUUAAAAAAAUACAAAUAUGUAUAUAAGUGCUGUGGGGCUAGGAGGGGGAUGAACAUAGGGUGCAAGGGUGAUGCAGAAGGCAGUGGGAGAAGAGGAAAGGGGUGCUUAGGAAGGCCUCCUGGAAGAGAUGUGCCUUCAGUAAGGCUUUGAAGGUGGGGACAGUAAUUGUCAGAUUUGAGGAGGGAGUUCCAGGCCAGAGGCAGGACGUGGGCAAGGGAUCGGCAGUGAGAUAGACGAGAUGGAGGCACAGUGAGAAAGUUAGCAUUAAAGGAGCGAAAGUGCAGGCUGGGUUGUAGUAGAAGAGUAGGAGGGGGCAAGGUGAUUGGGUGCUUUAAAGCCAUUGGUGAGAAGUUUUUGUUUGAUGGACAAUCACUGGAGUUUUUUGAGGAGUGGGGAACACGUCCUGAAUGUUUUUGAAGAAAAAUGAUUUGGGCAGCAGAGUGAAGUAUGGAGAGCCAGGAGGCUGCUGCAGUAGGAUGAGUGAUUGUAUUAAUGCGGUAGCAGUUUGGAUGGAGGGGAAAAGGCAGAUUUUAGCAAUGUUGUGAAGGUGGAGCGACAGGAUUUAGUGAUGGAUUGAAUAUGUGAGUUGAAUGACAGAGAGGAGUCAAAGAUAACGCCCACGUAAUGGACUUGUGAGACCGGAAGGAUGGUGGUGCCGUCUACAGUGAUGGAAAAGUCAAGGGGAGGACUUUGGGUGGAAAGGUACGGAGUUCUGUUUUGGACAUGUUAAACUUGAGGUGAUGGGAGGACAUCCAAAUAGAGAUGUCUUGAAGGGAGGAGGAAAUGCGAGACUGCAGAGAGGGAGAGAGAUCAAGGCUGGAGAUGUAGAUUUGGGUGUCUUCCACACACUGGUGGUAGUUGAAGCCAUGGGAGCAAAUGAGUUCUCCAAGGGAGUGGGUGUAGCUGGAGAAUAGAAGGGGACCCAAAUUGAACCUUGAGGGACCCCCACAGUUAGGGGGUGGGAGGCAGAGGAGGGGCCUACAAAGAAGACUGAGAUGAACGGCCAGAGAGAAGAGAACCAGGAGAGGACAGUGUCAGUCAAGCCAAGUGUGGAUAAUGUUUCCCGGGGAAGGGGGUGGUUGACAGUGUCAAAGGCAGCUGAGAGGUCAAGGAGGAUUAGGAGGGAGUAGAGGCUGCUCCUUAUCACCUUGCCUCCUGUCUCUCCCCAUUCCAGUCCACACUUCACUAUGCUACCUGAUUCAUUUUUCUUCAGAAACCUUCAGUCCAUAUUUCCCCACUUCUCAAGAACCUCCAGUAGUUGCCCAUCCAUCUCGACAUGAAAUAGAAACUCCUUACCAUCGACUUUAAAGCACUCUAUCACCUCAUCUCGCUGUUCUCCUCUUAUAUCCCAGUCUACACACCCUCAAUCUCAUCUAUCUCGCUGCUCAUCUCUCAUCCACAUUCUGCCUCUGGCCUGGAAUGCCCUCCCUUUUCUUAUUCAACAGACAAUUACUCUCCCCACUUUCAAAGCCUUACUGAAGGCAUAUCUCCAAGAAGCCUUCCCUAAGCCCCUC
Molecule: long non-coding RNA, 3246 nt
Filed under: Ornithorhynchus anatinus (platypus)
Lineage: Eukaryota; Metazoa; Chordata; Mammalia; Monotremata; Ornithorhynchidae
Description: lncRNA (ENSOANG00000045192.1)
Rfam family: tRNA (bases 1405-1476)
Source: RNAcentral